This 463-nucleotide ribosomal RNA is filed under the name Parvimonas micra. RNAcentral's name for it is "bacterial SSU rRNA". It matches the Rfam family "Bacterial small subunit ribosomal RNA", at positions 28 to 492 of the family's 1533-position model. The record is from RNAcentral. Lineage: Bacteria; Bacillati; Bacillota; Tissierellia; Tissierellales; Peptoniphilaceae.
GACGAACGCUGGCGGCGUGCUUAACACAUGCAAGUCGAACGUGAUUUUUGUGGAAAUUCUUUCGGGAAUGGAAAUGAAAUGAAAGUGGCGAACGGGUGAGUAACACGUGAGCAACCUACCUUACACAGGGGGAUAGCCGUUGGAAACGACGAUUAAUACCGCAUGAGACCACAGAAUCGCAUGAUAUAGGGGUCAAAGAUUUAUCGGUGUAAGAAGGGCUCGCGUCUGAUUAGCUAGUUGGAAGGGUAAAGGCCUACCAAGGCGACGAUCAGUAGCCGGUCUGAGAGGAUGAACGGCCACAUUGGAACUGAGACACGGUCCAAACUCCUACGGGAGGCAGCAGUGGGGAAUAUUGCACAAUGGGGGGAACCCUGAUGCAGCGACGCCGCGUGAGCGAAGAAGGUUUUCGAAUCGUAAAGCUCUGUCCUAUGAGAAGAUAAUGACGGUAUCAUAGGAGGAAGCC